This 7301-nucleotide long non-coding RNA is filed under the name Gallus gallus (chicken). The record is from RNAcentral. Lineage: Eukaryota; Metazoa; Chordata; Aves; Galliformes; Phasianidae.
CUCUCCAUGGCAGCGAGCAAGAAGCCUCGUCGUAAAAAAAAUAACAACCGUUCUGAUUUAUUCCAGAAAAACAACGCACGCCCCGUCCCCAGCGCACGGCCCUGCAAACAUCUGACGUGUGGCGCCCCAGCGCCCGCUGCUCGGGGAUAAGCCCCGCUUCGGGGCCGUGGGACCACUGGGCCGCAUCGGCUGAAAAACAAAAAUCCACCCCGAAACUCACAGAAGCGGCUGCCAGGGCAUCCCCAGCCCAGCCAUGGGUGGGAGCGGCUGCAUCGGUGCAGGUCCCGGCCCCCUCGGGCCUACAGCUCAGACUGCGAGCGAGAGAUGCGCGGGCCCUUGCGGAUCUCCUUGCGCUUCUCCUCCUUCCGGCGCCGCUUCUCCUCCUCGCGCAGUGCCUUCUGGAAGGUGUCAGCGCUGGGGAAGAACUCAGAGUGGUCAGCUUUGAAGGGAUUGCGGUAAUUGGGGGACUUCUCGCUGAUUCCCAGCUCUUGAGCCAUCAGCCCCAGGAGCUGGGAGUGAGGCCCCUGCUCAAAGACACCCGUCAGGUUGCAGAAGCCGAUGCCCCAACGGAUCAGGUUGUUCCAGUUGGAGUUGCGGUCGAAGUAGUGGUGCACAAUCUUGGGGAAGCGCAGCACGACGUCCCCGAAGAAGGCCGUGUUCUCCACCACAUGGGAGUAGGCAUCCUUCAGCUUCUCAUCCUGGGGGAAAGGCCCAUCCGGGGGCACGUCUGCAGCUAUCAGUACAGCCCGGGAGUCCUCCAGCACUUUGAAGAGUCCCUUGAGCAUGAUGUCAAUGAUUUUAUACUGUUGGUUGAUGUCAUUGAGCUCGAUGAGGUUCUUCAGGGCAUUCAUCUGGUCCUUGCGCUUCACCUCGAACAGCUUCUUAUAGAUCUCCAAUCCAGAGCCCAUCCUCUGCUUCUCCAGGUCUGCCAGGCUGCCCUCGGGCAGCACCACCGCCAACAGGAUGAGGCAGAUCCAGAGGAAAUCCAUCGUGGAGGCCACAGCCUGCGGGCCGGGAGCGGGGCCGGGAGCGGCGCUCAGAAGCACCGCGCUGCCAUGCCGCCGCCGCCUCCCGCCCCGCCCCGCCGUGUCACUUCCUGAGCUCCCGCACCGCCCCGCCGGCCGCCGUACCUCGGGCUGCGGCCGGAGCGGCGCGGCCAGCAGGGAGAGAGAGGGGAUGCUGCCUCUUUGUUAUGCGCUGUGAGACCUCACCUGGGGUGCUGCGGCCAGAUGGGGAGUCCUCAGAGCAGGAGAGACGUGCACCUGUUGGAGCGUGUCCAGAGGAAGGCCAGAGAAACGAUCCGAGGGAUGGAACGCCUCCCUGCGAGCACGGGCUGGGAGCUGGGGCUCCGGGGAGACCUGAGAGCAGCCCUUCAGUAUCUAAAGGGGGGCUAUAAGAAAGAAGGGGACAGACUCUUUAACAGAGUCUGCUAGGAUAAGACAAGGGGAAAUGGUUUUAAACGACAGGAGGGGAGCUUUAGAGGGGCUGUAAGGAAGAAGUUGUUUACAAUCAGGAUGGUGAGGCAGUGGCACGGGUUGCCCAGAGAGGCGGUGGACGCCCCAUCCCUGGAGACAUCAUCCAAGGUCAGGCUGGAGGGGCUCUGAGCACCCUGAUGGAGCUGCGGGUGUCCCUGUUCAUUGCAGGGGGGGUUGGACCGGAUGGCCUUUGAAGGUCCCUCCCAGCUCAAACAAUUCUCCGAUUCUCCCCUUCCCAGCGGGACACAGCUCGUUCCUCAGCCCCUGCUGGCCCGUGGGAAGGGCAGAACAAGGAUGGCGCCAUCCCCCAGCAAGGCAGAUGGAGAGCACCUCACCCACCAUCCAGCAGUGCUGUAGUUUACUGUCUGCAGAGUGUCAGCUAAGCGGCGUCCCACACGGAACACAAAAAGAGGAACUGUUUAAGAAACUGUGCUUUAUGAAUGAUAUUCAACAAAAACUUAACAACAAACUGACUUCCUUGGGCCGCUUCCUCUCUACAGCCUACAAGGAACAAAUGGCAGGGUGCCACCUCCCAUUCUGUUCUUUCCUCAUCACUCUGUUGCGUGUACCCCAUCUUGUCACUUCAGUCUUCACUGUGGCAGGGCUAUCGUUACACUGCCCACACAUCUGUCAUUGAUGGCAUGAGUGGAAAACAAAGGGAAGGCAGAGCUGAAACUCCAGCACGACACUGGAAUUCCCACAUUUGACACAGUGCUGACAGGAGGCAGGUAGAGUCUUAGGACAUCCCGAGUUGGAAGGGACCCAUAAGUAUCAUUGUGUCAUUACUAAACUGCCAUGGAAAUCUCACCAACCCAUGGGGAAUGUUUAUGCGGGUGAACCCGAAGAAAGCUUUUUCUUGAUAGAACAGAGGUAUCCAAACUACUCCAGCAAUGUAACAAGACUUCUGUCCACCCCUCUCACCCCUAUACAGACCAGCAAAGAGGAACUUGAUGGGGCUUACGUGGUCUUGACCAUGAGAACUUCUACCCCGAGCUUCCCACUGCAGAGAGGCAGUGUCACACAAGGACUGGGCAUGAGGAUAAACCACUGCUCACAGAUAAUGCACACCUCACCUGCCACGGACGCUGCCCAUGGCUGAGGACAGCGUCACCCCACAGGCACAAGGGAGGAAGUCCCCCACCCAACAGGAAAUCAUUGCUGGGGCCCAUUCCAUAUCUGCUACCUAUUCGAUGCAACACGGCACGAUGAUAACAGGAAGGCAGUUUCAGUCAUAAACAGUACUGAAUUUAGCACGGGCAUCAGGUUCCCUCUUUCCCCAAAAGAAGUCUGGGAGUUGCUCCUCCCUCCCAUCCGUGCAGAAGAAGAGGAUUUGGUUCUCAGCAGGGGACUCCACUGCUCAGGUGAAGCAAAAAGAAAUUCAGUAACUCCACUCAGCAGUUUCUGAACACCUGCUGUACUUUAAAAGUGUUCGAGUUACCUUUGGGUUGCCACGACUUCACACGCUUAGCAGUGCUAGUUAGCUCACAGACAGAGGUUAAGUGGCUGCUCAGCCCCCAGGGAAAUCAAUAUGGGAAUCGCUUCUGCUUUGAAGUCAACAGGCGCCCCAGCCUGCCCCUCUUUCAUUACACCAUCUCUGCCUUACAGAUUAAUGCAAUCCCGGCACAGACAGCCAUCUUUCAUCCCAAAUACCUCUUCAUUUCCCAGACGUCUUCUCAAAUUUGAGAAUGUUGAGGUAUUUCAUCUCAAAGUUAGCCAACUUUUUGCACUGUUUGCCUUUGGCUGAAAAUGGUCAGGAGCAGCAGAUUAAGUAUCCCUUCUACUUCUGUUACAGCUCCCGCCCUCACUUUUCUUAUCAAAGGCAUUUGCCCAGCAAAAGGAUACACAAUGUCCUGAUGUUUUGCACAGGUGUUCGUCUGCUGUGGAAGGUGCUCCAGCAAGGUCUGAAUGGUCCGUGCCUGCACUGGCUCCACCUGACAACGGCUGCUCUGAAUCUGAGCAGUCAGGAGAAGGAAUGGUUUCCAGAUGAAAAGCAAACUGUUGUUCUUUCACACUUCCCUCCUGCAUCUCCAGCCAGAGCAAUGAGACCUCCAAACUUUGAUCAAGGAGCCCAUGACAGUACUGACAACACAGUUCAGGCAGCUGCUGGCAUCAGUCAUGUUCUCAUUUCACCACUCAAGGCCAAGCAAGCAGCUGCAGGAUUCCUCAUCAUCUCACUAUAGCCUCAAAGGAAGCUUAUGGCUCCCCAUCAAAGGCUGAAGCAACCCCCUAUGGAACUCCCUUCUCACUUUCCUAGGCAGUCACUGCUUUCUUACCUGGCAGAGGAAGAGGUGAAGAGCCCGAGAUGUGGCCUCUGGCAGCUCUACUAAGUUGGCUUCUGCCACUUCCUGGAGAAUCUGGCCAAUUUCUUUUUGAGAAAUGAUAUUGCUGCUCUGAUAUUUCAGAAACUUGAACAAAGGAAAUGAGAGGCAUUAAUUAGUGAGUGAAUGACCCACAGACUCCAAUAGCGAUUCAUCACCUGAAAAGACCUCUUCUGUGUUAAAGGAUCCUGCAGCACGCUAAUCACAGGCCUGAUUUUAUACCAUUUCUGACAGAACCAGUGCAAAUAUCCAUGUUGGUGGUGCUCUGACUUGUAACUUGUUUUGGUUUAGGUCAGGCAAGAAUCAAAAUGAACCCAGUAUCUCUUUAAAGUGCAUCAAGAAUAACAAAGAUCGACAGACACAUCAUCUAUUUGGAGAAAGAAAGUUCACAUAAAUAACCCUUUCCUCUCAUGUACUGCUAUGAGGGCUUUAUCAUCAGUGUUUCUGUUGGGUAGGAGUACACUCCCUCUCCUGCUCAUAGGCCCCAGAUGCACUGGGGUCAUACACUGUAGUAGUUCCCUGACCUGAAAAGUCAGGCCUGUAAGGCCAAGGACAGGGAGAGAAGCUGUGAGGCCAUGCAAAGCCCUGCUCUCCAAAGAGCCACAGCACACUCUCAUGCUGACAACAGCAGUUGCACAUUCUCUGUAGUCUUUCCCUCUCCUCCCCAGGGGUCCUAGGUGAUGCAAAUCAGUGCUACAAACACCAAAAGAACAGGAUGUGCUCACUAAGAGCAGUCAGUUUCUGCACAGUGUGGAAAGGAAACUCACUUCAAAGUAUAAUCAUUAUAGGAUAGAAAUACAGUGAUGGACAAAACCACAGCAGUAUCCAAGAUUGUGUGUGUGCAGGAAGUAAGUUCCAGUAACCAACUCAGAUGCACUGUACCAACAAAGAAGUAAAACAGAACAGCCUACCCUGCCCUCACUCACCAAAGUCAUGAGCCUGAGAAUUUCUGGCUGCAGAAUGGACUUCUGGCUCCCACUGAGCAGUGUCAAGAGCAGGAAUCGGUGCCAGGGCUGUGAAGCAACAUGUAGUGCUGGGAGAGAAGGAGAAUCCACUGAAAGACAGCUUUAAAAUCUGGCAAGCGACAGGCUGGACCUGAAAAAGGAGUCUUCAACUCUGACCUUGUAUUUCUGUUUCUAGACCCCAAGCUGUGAAACACUAAGGGGGGUAUUUUGCUCUGUACUUACUUGCUUUAAAAUCUGUCACUCUUUGGGCAAGAGUUUAGUCAUGAGGACAAAAGCUUAACAGCUUUUUAAAACAGAAAAUGCAUUUUGUCCACCUUUGUGCUUGUACAGGAAGAGAAACCUUCUCCUGGGGUUCAUGUCAUAAAAUAGAAAGGGGAUAUCUUUAGCCCAAGGUUUUAAAAAUAAUACCCUCUGGUUUCAAUAUGAGGACAAGGUUCCUGACCACGGGUUUUAUUUAGCUGCAGAAUACUCCUUGGGUAAUGAAGGAAGACCUAUAACAUAAGCUGCAAAAACUGAGCCUGGAUCUGCAUCAGAGAGCAUACUAUAGGGACCAGCCAGGCUGAUGGCAGCAAUGCGAACAAUCAGUAGAGAAAAUGUUCCUAAUUAGAACUGUAGAUGAUAAACAGAGGUUAGACUCAAGGUCACCAUCUGUGACAGUACGAAAUCUCUCACUGAACUCCAACGUUGCAUUACCUUGUACUUAUUGCUGGUUGAAAGCAUGUGAUGGACAAUUAGAACAGGUCAGCUGAUAUAACUUGCUAUACCUUGACAGUUCACCAAUGGGUUUGAGCCCUUUGCUUUAGAUAUAUCCCUUUUCCACUGGCAGUCGCAUAACCUCCCUGAUGCCACUACAACAAUCUUGUCCACGGUCAAGCAACACCAAAAAAAAAUCAAGUAAAGUGUUGGCGGAGAAUAAGGAGACUCUUGUUGUCAGUGCUGUGAACUGCACCACGGUAAGAAUUUAGGCAGCCAAACUGAAGGGUUCAGCUGAAACAUUUUGUUAUCUUAAUCCCAAAUCAUUGCAAUGUCCUCAUAACAAGCCUCUUAAGAUUCCCUUCAGCUACUGGCUGUCAUUCAUCUGCACUACUAUAUUUUCAUUCAACAGUUUCCUCUCUCCCAACAAGGUCUUUUUUUUUUUGUCUGGCACUCGUUCACUCCAUUCCCCUCUUUCUCUGCAUUUACAUGACUGAUUUGAACAGAUCAGAGUACAGAGAACUAACUUUCUGUUUAAUGAACACAGCCAGCAUCUCUACUUUGUGACAGGAGGCUGACAAUGAGCAGAAUGGUCUUCUCUUCCCUCAACUGUACAACGCUGUCAUAUGUUAUACUGCUGAUAUGGUAUACAUUUGGUCUGACAUGGACUCUUGAAACCAAGGUCUGUAUUUGCCCCUGGAAAUAUAGAAUUUCCAGCUUCCAUUCUCUGAGGCUGUUUACUAACUCUCUUCUCCCUUCACAUCCCUUAGGGACAAACUGUGGCCAACAUCUCUGCAUGGAAGAUGCAUCAUAUUCAGAGCCUUCCUCCUCUAUAUUUAUGGUCUAAAGGUUUGCUAAAUCGGCCUGGAAGUGAAAGACUAACUACUCUUAUAUUGCUUCAUUUCCUACAUCUUUUGCUCUUAUCAUAUUAGGGCGUGGGGUGGUAGUGACUAUUUUCUUCUGUAGAACAUCUUGGUAUUCACAGCCCAAGUGAGGGCUGACUCCUACAGGGGAACCAGGCACUGUCAUUUCAUCCCACAAAGCACGUGAUUAACUUUGAUCACACAAAUAAUUCUUCUUGUUUGGCAUAAACACAUUAGGCAUAUGCUCCAAGGCAUUACAGGAUGGAGAUCAAAGAGCCCAAAAUCACUGCAAGAGGGAAACCAGUAGAAGGAAGGACGGGAAGACUUUACCAACAUCCUGGUUCCUCACAUACAGGUAUUCCAGUAACGUUUCCAGGCAGGCAACCACAGCUUGAGAAAGCAGUAAGUCUUUCUGGAAUCCCAAGAGGGGAGAAAAAAGAAGAAAAAACAAGCAGUCAACAGCUACCGCAAGAGGAAAAUUCAUAAAGUGGCAGGCUCUGAAGAGCAUGCAGCACAGGAAAAUAACAGCCUUCACCUCCUUCACAGGAUGUAACGUACUGCAAAUUAUCUGUCAUGUCAAGGAGCCAGACAAAAGCAUGAGUACUUAUUCUGAGACGAAAAAAUUAAGUAACUGUCCCCAAAGUAUAAAGAUAGGAGCCCAGUGUUGCUUAAGAGAGUUAAAUGUAAACCGAUGUACUAUCCCCUGGAGCCCAACAUCACUUGAGUGACUAAAUGUAAGCCGAUGUACUUUUCCCCCAAAGUACCUUGCCAGGGCUGUAGAGGAGGGACUGAGAUUUGAUAUGUUUCUCCCACCUCUGUCCCUAUGGGUGUGGAGCCCCCACAGAGCAGGAGAUGGGUAACAGAGAUUGUCAUCAGCACACAAAAUUUAAGCUCUCCAGUUCAGCAGCAGGGAGUUCUACAUAGCUUGAUUUACAUUCUUCCACACUACACUACGCCUUGCACACUGCAGCAAGAGCACUUUCCCUC